RNAcentral lists this long non-coding RNA (2397 nucleotides) under Trifolium pratense (red clover). RNAcentral describes it as "long non-coding RNA (TPRA_LNC013938)". Lineage: Eukaryota; Viridiplantae; Streptophyta; Magnoliopsida; Fabales; Fabaceae. The record is from RNAcentral.
AAAAUAGGCCAACACAGUUAUAAAUUGCUGCGCCUAGAAACAAGAAAAGAAAAAACAGAUACAAAAAAUAACAUGCUCCCUGCUAAAAACCAACUCUUCCUCAUCUCAACAAGCAUAGAGUUGGAGCUUGAUUCCAUUCAUAAAACAGACAGGAGAGAGUUUGAGACCUUGCAAUCCACCAUUUCCAAGAGCUAAUUUUUACUUCCUCCACUAGUCCUAUAACACCAGUAAUUCCAUUCUCAAACACAAUCUUGUUUCUUAUUCUAUCCUAUCAUUAUCCUAUUGAAUAUCAUAUCCUGUCACUAUCCUAUUCUGCGCACCAAACGGGGUAUUGUCUAACAUAUACAAAUUACAUAUAAGAAUUUCCACCGUAAUUAAGUGCUUAGAUAUAGAUUAGAUAUUAAUGCAUAAACAAAGAAUUUGUAGUUGUUGUUUUCGGAUUUAAAAAACCGUUAAAAAAUAAUUUUUACAGCCACCGAAGAGAUUACUGGGUUGAGUCGCGGACUAGGUCGCUCACUUUAAGACGUUUCGUGGCACUGCCCAAAAUUGUGCAAGCAGACUAUCAACCACGUCGUCCCCAGGAUAAAACAACUCAGUUUCAACUGUAUACCGAUAUGCUACUGCACGAUAGAAAUCGGUCAAAGAAUACACCUUCUUGAAUGAUACUACAAUACUACUCGAAUUGAUGCUGCGACAUCAUUCUAUGUUUCAUCGGUGAUUCAGUGAUACUACAAUAUCACUUAGAUUGAUGCUACAACCUCAAUCUAUGAAUCAACGGUACUACGAUACCACAUGUGGUACUACAAUACCACAUGUAUUGAUGAUACUACAAUAUCAAUCAAUAUAAUGACACUGAGGCCAUUCCAAUAUGGUACUAAGACCAUUCUCAAAUCAAAGGGAUAAUGGUAAUAAAACCAUUCUUUAUUUGAAGUAACUAGUGAUACUUUGAUCACUCUUAAAAUAAAUUAAUACUAAUAUAACUAUUAGUAUCCUUAAGGAACUUAUGCUGAUAUAAAUCAACAAACACCACUGGUUUGAUAAAAGAUUAAUAACAAUUGGUCAUAAAAUGAAUAAGAAAUAUCCAAUUAGUUAUUAUGGACUCAAUGUACUUAAGCAUGAUUUCAACUAAAAAAUAGAGAAAAGUUUUGCUAAAAUCAUAAGUCUCGCAAAAUAAUAGAACAAACUUGAAUGUAGACAUCAAGAUUAAAUUCAACAUUAGAAAAUGUUCAUAUUCAGCAUUAAGUUAUAAAAUGUAAAUUCAUAGUAUAAUACUCCCAAAAAUUAGACCCGACAAUCAUACUAGAGUUCGGUCCCUAAUAGUGAUCAUCCAUUGUUUGUUUAAAAAACAAAAUAAAACUAGCAUACCUUGAAGUCUGUCAUCACCGCUUGCAACUAGCUUCAACUCUUUGGAUGAACAUAGCUCCAAAACCAAUUAAACAAAAUAUUGAAAUGUUUAUCACAUAAUCGUGUAGUCACUUGACCAUGUAUCUACAACUUGAUUGUACAAAUUAUAAUUGCUCCAACCUAUGUUCAACCAUCGACUAAGGAUAAAUGGCUUUCAUAAUUUUUUAACCUUGAAAUAUGAUAUGCAUCAUUUUGUUUUUUAGAAGCUUGCCGUAUCUCACUUAAGGGCUGAGAUGUAUAUGCAUAUAUGCAUCUAUUUUCUUAGUGAAGCAAUCAAUUAGAAUUAUUCUCCCAUAAAUUAACAGUUACAAAAUGAUGGAAAAUAAAUCACAAUAAAUUAAAUAAAUAAAUAGUAUGUCCAAUAUCAUCAAAAUGUAGGACUUAAUUUAUUUAUUUUCACAAAAUUACACACUAGUAUGCUACAACACACUAGUAUGUUCUAAUACCCGAUAUGAGACUCAAUUUUAUUUUCAAUUCACACACCAAUGUGAACUUUGUUCCAACCGUAGUAAAUAACAAUGACAUGUUGCUACUUAUAAAAUGAGUAAUUCACUAAUUCUUUCCGGCCUCCUUAAUAAGCAGCAAUCAUCCCACCUAGCUAGCAAGCACAUGGUGCUUUAGAUUUGGAAAAUGGACUGUCUCGUGACAGCCUACCCACCAUGUGCUCCACAAACAAAUGGACAGUGUCACUCAAUUUUGUAUUUGAAAAUUUGCCAAAAAACUACAUGUCUUUUGUUAUCAAUACAGUAUGUAGUAUUGUUCAUCCACUUCUCAGUCACCACGACCUAAAUAAACACAAAGAGCAUGCAUUAAUUUCCAAGAAGAGACAUGGAGAUUAUUUUUUAAAGAGAACAAAAUUCUCGGUUCCAAAUCGGUUACAAGAUAAGAAUUGAAAUUUGAAUAAACAAAGCUACAAGAAUGAAUAAUUUGUAUAUAUAUGUGUAUAUAUAUACCUGUGGAUAUUUAUCUGCGAGAAAAAUAUUUAAAUGGUCA